Molecule: ribosomal RNA, 486 nt
Filed under: uncultured bacterium
Lineage: Bacteria
Description: bacterial SSU rRNA
Rfam family: Bacterial small subunit ribosomal RNA
Source: RNAcentral
UGGGGAAUCUUGGACAAUGGGCGCAAGCCUGAUCCAGCCAUGCCGCGUGAGCGAUGAAGGCCUUAGGGUUGUAAAGCUCUUUCACCGGUGAAGAUAAUGACGGUAGCCGGAGAAGAAGCCCCGGCUAACUCCGUGCCAGCAGCCGCGGUAAUACGGAGGGGGUUAGCGUUGUUCGGAAUUACUGGGCGUAAAGCGCACGUAGGCGGACCAGAAAGUUGGGGGUGAAAUCCCGGGGGCUCAACCCCGGAACUGCCUCCAAAACUAUUGGUCUAGAGUUCGAGAGAGGUGAGUGGAAUUCCAAGUGUAGAGGUGAAAUUCGUAGAUAUUUGGAGGAACACCAGUGGCGAAGGCGGCUCACUGGCUCGAUACUGACGCUGAGGUGCGAAAGUGUGGGGAGCAAACAGGAUUAGAUACCCUGGGUAGUCCACACCGUAAAACGAUGCAAUGCCAGUCGUCGGGUAGCAUGCUAUUCGGUGACACACCUAA